UUUGUAGCCAACUUCACUGCGACAAGUUCAAUGCAACUCAGGGUACAGGUAUGUUGAUCAUCAGCUGACGCGAUAUUUUUCUUUCAUAAAUCAUUAUACGCGUCUCAGUCAUUUAUACUAAUAACUUUUAAAUGUUAUUAAGUACGUAAUAAAAACUCCACAUUAUGCUGUCAUGUGUAUCCGAAGCAUCGACGAAAAGAAAAAAAGGAGGAACAAAAACCCUUGACCCAAAUGCGUUACGGCAAAGAAAUAUUCGAUGAUAUGCUCCUCCAAGGUUCGAACCAUCGGGAAAAGUAAUAUGAAUCGGUAAAAAUGGACACGCGUGGACAAUUAGAUCGGUGUCUAAUUGGACCGCGCGCUCGAUUAGGCAAGAAGAAAUCGUGAACGAAAAGGGGAACGAUCGCUAAUCAAUCCAUACUAGUGCGACUACUCCCUAGAGUUGCACAAACUUUUUAUUUCAUACUAAUUAUCCGGCUUUCUUAUAUCUAGAACAUAGACAAUUAUAGAAUUCUGAAAAUCAAGCAGUAACGUGUUGAAAUCUAUAUAAAAAAUAAAAAUUAAAUUCUGUUCGUUGGUAAGUGCAUCACAUGAGAACGGCUGGACCGAUUUGGCUAAUUUUUUUUUUUUAAUGUUGGUAAUAGUCCGAAUAAGGUUUUUAGGGAAAGAAAAAUUGGAAAAGUUGCCCGGAAAAAUGGAAAAUUCGGGAAACUUUUUUUUUUUUUUCAAUUUUACUUUGUUGGCACAUUUUCAAUAGCUUUUCACAAAUUCACAAAACGAUUUAUUGAAAUUUAGACAGGACGUCUGUCGGGUCAGCUAGUUAAUUAAUAGUUUUUAAUUUGUAAUAUACAAGAGAUUGAUAAAAAGGGAGAAAAUUAGAUGGAUAUAAAAAGAAAGUUCAAACGAUUUAGUCCUUCGGAUUGAUUAGCCAAUCGAUCAUAAUUUUCUAAUCGAUCAUCCGGUUGUCGAGCUCUUUGCAUUUAAUUAUAUUGGAUUGUUCCAAAGCAUACAGAAUGAGAGUGAAACCGCGUAUCGAUACCUUGACUCGAUCGAUUUCGAAAUCUCUUUUUUUUUUUUCUUUCCUCUGAAUCGAUAAUUAAUAACUUCGAUCCUUGGAGUCGUCAACCUUUUAAAAUUCUAAAGCGUUUAAAAUUUUUUUUAAAGGAUAAGAUAUCUGAAAGCUGAGCAAUUUAAAAAAUGAAAAAGAAUCGAGAUCUUUCAAAGGGAGGGCGCGAUCGACGGGAUACGGAUUUUUUUGAAACUUGCAGUAUUUGAAGAUGUCCUCUCCAAAUUUAAUUUCCCAAAGCAGUAGCGCGCGCCCCUCGAGAUUUUCCGAGAAAAUUGCAUAAAAAUCGC
Molecule: non-coding RNA, 1353 nt
Organism: Osmia lignaria (orchard mason bee)
Lineage: Eukaryota; Metazoa; Arthropoda; Insecta; Hymenoptera; Megachilidae
Source: RefSeq, a predicted model, not a curated record